CAGUAGCCGCGGUAAUACGUAGGGUGCGAGCGUUAAUCGGAAUUACUGGGCGUAAAGCGUGCGCAGGCGGUUGUGUAAGACAGGUGUGAAAUCCCCGGGCUUAACCUGGGAACUGCGCUUGUGACUGCACGGCUAGAGUAUGGCAGAGGGGGGUGGAAUUCCACGUGUAGCAGUGAAAUGCGUAGAGAUGUGGAGGAACACCGAUGGCGAAGGCAGCCCCCUGGGCCAAUACUGACGCUCAUGCACGAAAGCGUGGGGAGCAAACAGGAUUAGAUACCCCCGUAGUCCCUGUCUCUUAUAC
This 301-nucleotide ribosomal RNA is filed under the name uncultured bacterium. RNAcentral's name for it is "partial 16S ribosomal RNA". It matches the Rfam family "Bacterial small subunit ribosomal RNA", at positions 509 to 807 of the family's 1533-position model. The record is from RNAcentral.